RNAcentral lists this ribosomal RNA (419 nucleotides) under uncultured eukaryote. Its description in RNAcentral is "bacterial SSU rRNA". It matches the Rfam family "Eukaryotic small subunit ribosomal RNA", at positions 592 to 1018 of the family's 1831-position model. The record is from RNAcentral.
CAAUAGCGUAUAUUAAAGUUGUUGCAGUUAAAAGCUCGUAGUUGAACUUCGGAACCGGUCGAUUGGUCCGUCCUCUGGAUUGUGUACUGAUCGAUCUGUUCUUCUUCGCGAAGACCGCGUGUGCCCUUAACUGGGUGUGCACGGGAUUCACGACGUUUACUUUGAAAAAUUAGAGUGUUCAAAGCAGGCAUUCGCUUGAAUAUCUCAGCAUGGAAUAAUAGAAUAGGACUUUGGUCUUAUUUUGUUGGUUUCCGAGACCGAAGUAAUGAUUAAUAGGGACAAUUGGGGGCAUUCGUAUUAACGCGUCAGAGGUGGAAUUCUUAGAUUGCGUUACGACGAACUACUGCGAAAGCAUUUGCCAAGGAUGUUUUCAUUGAUCAAGAACGAAAGUAUGGGGAUCGAAGAUGAUUAGAUACCAU